This 500-nucleotide ribosomal RNA is filed under the name uncultured bacterium. RNAcentral's name for it is "partial 16S ribosomal RNA". It matches the Rfam family "Bacterial small subunit ribosomal RNA", at positions 28 to 507 of the family's 1533-position model. The record is from RNAcentral.
GACGAACGCUGGCGGCGUGCUUAACACAUGCAAGUCGAACGGGUCUGCCCUGUUUUUUGCGGGGUGGGUCAGUGGCGAACGGGUGAGUAACACGUGAGUAACCUGCCCCUCACUUCUGGAUAACCGCUUGAAAGGGUGGCUAAUACGGGGUGUUCUGGCUGUGCCGCAUGGUGUGGCUGGGAAAGAUUCACUUUUGUGGUGUUUUGGUGGGGGAUGGGCUCGCGGCCUAUCAGCUUGUUGGUGGGGUGAUGGCCUGCCAAGGCUUUGACGGGUAGCCGGCCUGGGAGGGUGGGCGGUCACACUGGGACUGAGAUACGGCCCAGACUCCUGCGGGGGGCAGCAGUGGGGGGUAUUGCACAAUGGGCGGAAGCCUGAUGCAGCGACGUCGCGUGAGGGAUGGAGGCCUUCGGGUUGUGAACCUCUUUCGCCGGUGAAGAAGGUCCUGCUCUUUGUGGUGGGGUUGACGGUAGCCGGGUUAUGAAGCGCCGGCUAACUACGUG